CCUAACCCUAGGUUUCCAUGUCCAACGUUUGACUAUCCGUCUUAUAUGAAUUUAUUUUAUAAUUAGUAUUUUCAUUCUUGUUAGAUGAUAAAACAUGAUUAAUACUUUAUGCGUGACUUGUCUUUUUAAUUUUUUUUCAAAUAAGACGGACGAAAAGUCAGUGUUUGUUUUUUUGACGGAGGGUGCCCUAAAU
Non-coding RNA from Oryza meridionalis, 193 nucleotides. The record is from Rfam. Lineage: Eukaryota; Viridiplantae; Streptophyta; Magnoliopsida; Poales; Poaceae.